RNAcentral lists this ribosomal RNA (1368 nucleotides) under uncultured bacterium. Its description in RNAcentral is "bacterial SSU rRNA". It matches the Rfam family "Bacterial small subunit ribosomal RNA". The record is from RNAcentral.
GAGUUUGAUCCUGGCUCAGGACGAACGCUGGCGGCGCGCCUAACACAUGCAAGUCGAACGAGCGGGAGAGAGCUUGCUUUCUCAAGCGAGUGGCGAACGGGGGAGUAACGCGUGAGGAACCUGCCUCAAAGAGGGGGACAACAGUUGGAAACGACUGCUAAUAUCGCAUAAGCCCACGGUGCCGCGUGGCACAGAGGGAAAAGGAGCAAUCCGCUUUGAGAUGGCCUCGCGUCCGAUUAGCUAGUUGGUGAGGUAAUGGCCCACCAAGGCGACGAUCGGUAGCCGGACUGAGAGGUUGAACGGCCACAUUGGGACUGAGACACGGCCCAGACUCCUACGGGAGGCAGCAGUGGGGAAUAUUGCACAAUGGGGGAAACCCUGAUGCAGCGACGCCGCGUGGAGGAAGAAGGUCUUCGGAUUGUAAACUCCUGUUGUUGAGGAAGAUAAUGACGGUACUCAACAAGGAAGUGACGGCUAACUACGUGCCAGCAGCCGCGGUAAAACGUAGGUCACAAGCGUUGUCCGGAAUUACUGGGUGUAAAGGGAGCGCAGGCGGGAAGACAAGUUGGAAGUGAAAUCUAUGGGCUCAACCCAUAAACUGCUUUCAAAACUGUUUUUCUUGAGUAGUGCAGAGGUAGGCGGAAUUCCCGGUGUAGCGGUGGAAUGCGUAGAUAUCGGGAGGAACACCAGUGGCGAAGGCGGCCUACUGGGCACCAACUGACGCUGAGGCUCGAAAGUGUGGGUAGCAAACAGGAUUAGAUACCCUGGUAGUCCACACCGUAAACGAUGAUUACUAGGUGUUGGAGGAUUGACCCCUUCAGUGCCGCAGUUAACACAAUAAGUAAUCCACCUGGGGAGUACGACCGCAAGGUUGAAACUCAAAGGAAUUGACGGGGGCCCGCACAAGCAGUGGAGUAUGUGGUUUAAUUCGACGCAACGCGAAGAACCUUACCAAGUCUUGACAUCCUCUGACGAACGUAGAAAUACGUUUUCUCUUCGGAGCAGAGAGACAGGUGGUGCAUGGUUGUCGUCAGCUCGUGUCGUGAGAUGUUGGGUUAAGUCCCGCAACGAGCGCAACCCUUAUGGUCAGUUACUACGCAAGAGGACUCUGGCCAGACUGCCGUUGACAAAACGGAGGAAGGUGGGGAUGACGUCAAAUCAUCAUGCCCUUUAUGACUUGGGCUACACACGUACUACAAUGGCGUUAAACAAAGAGAAGCAAGACCGCGAGGUGGAGCAAAACUCAGAAACAACGUCCCGGUUCGGACUGCAGGCUGCAACUCGCCUGCACGAAGUCGGAAUUGCUAGUAAUCGCAGAUCAGCAUGCUGCGGUGAAUACGUUCCCGGGCCUUGUACACACCGCCCGUC